CUGCAAACCUAUCAUCGAAAUAUCUACUCCAUCAAUCAGAAUUCGUCCUCCAGAAGGCUCAACUACCCUGAAGAGAGCUUGGAUUAGAGUGGACUUCCCACUCCCUGUUCUUCCCACAACUCCGAUUUUCUUUUCUCCAGGAAAGGUGCAAGUUAUUCCUUUCAGGACCAUAGGGAGGGUAGGAUUAUAUUGGACAAGAAGGUUUUCAAGUUCAAUUUUUCCACUGCUUGGCCAUUCAGGAGAUGGCCUGCUAUUCUUUAUCACAAGGGGAGCUUCACUUGGUAUGUUUGUGAACUGAAGAAUUCUCUCAACCGAUAUCAUUUUGUUCUCAACAUUGCACAGGUUCCAUAUCACCCAAGCCUGAAGUACAUUCAGGUUCAAACCAUAGGUUGCUGCCAAUCCUGCCAAGCCUGAUAACAGAUCAACAAGGACGUCAGUUGAAAUUGACAUUUAAAUGUUUAAAUGAAUAACAAUGCAUUUCUCAAUUGUUCUUAUUUUGUCACAGCUGUUGGGCUAAUGGAAAUGAAGAGCUGUAGGAACUUACUGGGAUCAAUGGCUGUCCUAGGCAAGGUCACCAAAAUGAUCAGAACAAGGAAGAAAGCAAAGUUGAAAAGAAGGUUAAUUCGAAGGCAUAGCCAUUCCAUUGUUCCGCAGUUGUGGAAGGUGACGCAAGAGUAAUCAUCAAUCAAGCUGUGACUCCUCAGCAAGAAACGAUUUUCCUGAUUAAAACACCGAAUUGUUGUGGCUCCUGCGAUGGAUUCUGAGAAGUGAUGAAGGAUUGGAGCCUUUCUAGUUCCGACCAUUCUUGCCAGUUCUCUAGCAGUGGUAAUAUAAUAAGCCUGCAAAAGAUGGUGGCACCUUGCUGUAUUUACCACCUGAAUAUUUGUAUAGAAUAACAAUCAUAGAAAAGAGAACAAUGAUAAUAACUGACAAUAAUUUUGAAUGAUGCAUAUAUGAUUAUCGUGGUCCUUUUUCCUUCAUCUAUUGUCAUCUAUGAGCUGACUGUAUUGUGACAAACAUGAAAGAGAACGAUUCUAGAAAUAGAUAACUUUCUUGCCUGAUACCAUAUGGAGAUCCCAAGAAUGACAAGGAACAAAGGGAAGACCUGCCAAGCAGCCUGGGACAUAAGGAUGAUUAUGCUUAAUAGCUGAAUUAGUGCAAAUGCUAGGCCAGCUAAUCUGUAGGGAAUGUCCGUGUCCACUGUGCUUUGAUCUGUAGAGCACUGCAAUGACAUAAAAGAAAAGUGAUGCUUAAUUUCUGGUGAUAGGCGUAAAAAAUGAGAAGUAAAACAUAAUUUAACUUGGUAAUAAACAACUGAACUGACCCUGUUGAGGAUUCUGCUUGAAGGUGUGGAGUCAAAGAAUGAAAUAGGUGCUCGGAAAACUGAUGUGAUCAUGUUAAGGAAGAGACGUUGAGCUGUCUUAAUAGCAAUAGUUGCCAACAAAACUGCCCUUCCCAAUAUGAAGAAAGAGCUUCCACCAGACAAGAAGAUAAAUACUCCUAUCAACUGCUCUCUACUGACCUUGCGCUUCUCGUCUGUUGCCCAAGCAAUCCAGUAAUUGCUGCCCAUCUGCAGUGCCUGGAAAAGAACUUGACAAAGAAGAAUAACUGGAACAAGGGCCCCUUUAUACACUAAGGUUAUAAAGGCUGAGUAAACAGUCCAUUUUACUCGACCCAGUUCUGUAUCUUCAUCCUGACUUCUCCCUGAGAACUCGCCACAGCUGAUGGGGCGUGCAAAUCUCUCCUCUGUGAUUUGACUCAUCUGACAAGGUACCCUGGAUAAACAUUUAUCCUCUUGGGGUGGAUUCACUUGAUCUAAUGAUUUUCUGUGGGCCUUCAUUUGUCUAACAAGUUCACUGUUUUGAUCAGCUAUCAAAUCUUCAUAUUUUCCCGAUUGCUCAAUCUUGCCAUCUUUCAUCACCUGUAAGUAUGAAAUUUGAGUAAGAUAUAAAAGGCUUGGGUGAAUGUUCCUUAGAGAUACAGAAUAGAGUACUACAUACCAAAACAAGAUCUGCAGCAUCUAAGAAUUCCAAUUGAUGCGUAGUGUAUAAGACGGUCUUCUGAGACAAGAGCCCCAUGAGACAUUGCUGCAACAAAUUCCAAAAUUUUAGAAAAUUUAUCUAAACCUACUAAAAGAAAGUUUUAACAGAUAUGGUUAAUGGAAAAAAGAAGUUGAUGAAACAAUGAAAACGUUCUUGCCUUGAACAAAUGCGUUCCAGUAUGUGCAUCAACGGCACUAAAAGGGUCAUCGAAGAUGUAAACAUCUGAAUUGCUAUAGACUGCUCGAGCUAGUUGAAUCCUUUGCUUCUGUCCACCACUUAGGUUUAUUCCUCUCUCUCCAACUACACUGAGAUCUCCAUCAGCCCACAUCUCAAUGUCCUGGUUCAAAGCACAUCCCUCUAAGACCUCCUCAUAGAAAGAUUGCCUCAUAUCCUUGCCAAAAAGAAUAUUCUCUCUAAUGGUGCCCGUUUGAAUCCAAGAGCUCUGGGGUACAUAUGCCUUUUUUCCAUGAACCUUAAUUGCAGCUCCGGAUAUCCUGGGAAUCUCACCUAGUAUACUGCUAAGCAGGCUUGAUUUGCCUGACCCAACAGAUCCACAAACUGCAACCUUGGAACCUUUCAUUAUUUUCAUUUUAUCUGUAAGUUUAAUUGUAGGCUUCUUAAAGUUUUCUUCGCUUGCAUCCCAAGCAUAUUCCCCUGCUUCAAUAUCAAUAGCAACAUCAGAUGCCUUUGAUGUAGGCUCUGUUAUUGGCUUCUUUUGGUUGUCUUCUUUGAUGAACUCCUGGAUACGAUAAAGGGAGACCUUAGUCUGAGCAAUCAUGGAGAUUAGCUCUGGCAAGUUGUAUAUUGGUUCUUGAAGGAUUCUGAAAGUUGCUAAAGCAGAGAGAACUGCACCUGAUGUCAAUGGUGUUUUCAACAAAAUGCAAACUCCAAAAGUGAUUACAGAAACUAAGGUCGGUGAAGCCCAAAAGAGAAAAGCAAUUGCUGAACAUGUAUACAGGUACUUCUUCAGUGAGUCUCUCUCAAUUUCUCUAAGUCGCAGAAGCUUCUUCAAAAAUUCCUGCUCCCAAGAAAGCAAUUUUAACACUCUCAUGCUUUUUAGAGUCUCUGAGGUUGCCUUAAUUCUUGCAUCUUUAGCUUCCAUGAUCAUGGAAUGAAACCUUUCUUGCCUAUUUGCCAAUGGUGUGUUGCUCACCAUGACAAAAAUUGUAGAAAAGAGAGCAGCGAAGGCGGGAGCAGCACCCAGAUUCUUAUACAGGAUAACAAGAGCCAAAAAGACCUGGACUGGUAGCAACCAAAUUCUGUGAAUGUACAAGAAGAAGUCUCCAAUCCUCUCAACAUCCACAUUGAUCAUAUUUAUUAUUAUACCACUACUGGGACCUGCAAACUUAAUUGCCAUAGAUCUCUUGUAAAUCAGCACCGUGAGAGCUGACCUUACUCGUAUUCCAAUUCGAUUAGCACCGAAAUACCAUUGUCUUUGAGUUAGUGACUCUACUGUCUUUGCAAAGAGAAAAACUGACGCUAGGACUAGUCCGUCGUGGUAACUUGAGUGGUCAUGCUUUCCCGACAGAAAACUCACAAAGUUUGUGAUUAAAAAUGGACCAAUAUAGGACGCGAUUGUGUUAACUCCUACAAAUUACAAACCUUCAAAGUAAGCAUAUAGAAUUUGUCGUACAAAAUCUGCUGAGUAACAGAAGACUGAAAAUAGGUACCUGCAAAAGCAGCAUUCAGAGCCAAAGAUUUCCAUACAGCAUGAAUUAUGACUUGAGGCAGUGAAGUUGCGUCCGUUUUCUGUUUGCGAAGCGAUUCUUCCAGCAGUGAUGAAGCAUCGUUUGCUGUCUCAGAUUGAGGAAUAGGAGGAAUAUGAAGCAACUCAAGUUUCUGGAUCCUGCCCCUCUGAAAAAGUUGAUUGAGCCACUGAAAUGUGAUUUUGCUCAAAACUCCAGCACUUGCAAAGGUGCUAAUAUUUUUGCAUAAAAACUCGUCAUCCUCCUCUCGAAGUAAUGGAAUGUCAAGGUCACUGGGAUCUCUAGCACAACAACAUGCAUAUGUAGCAUUGAAACAAAGCAGAACCAGCAAGGGCAAUGACACAAAAUCAACAGCUUUAGCUUCUGGCAAAAUAUGAGGCAAUCCUAUGGAGCUCAAAUGGGUUAAAAGAUAAACAGAAACACAAACCAAAACAAUAACCAAAUGAACUACCCACCAAAGAACAAGCACUAAAGGCCACCUUUUGUGCUCUCCAAGGGUUCUGUAAUAUCUUGAACACAAUGCAACUACAGUUGCUAGAGCCCAAGUCACAACCAAGGAGACAGAUUUAAAAGAAACAAUUCUAAAAUUCCAAUACUCGUAGAAUCCAAAACCCAGAUACAAAAUGAAGAUUAAAACAUUGCAAAGGACAAUAACUAGACCAGCUGCUCUACGUGCCAUUAGUAUAUAACCAUCAUCUCUCCUACGUUUCAAAAUUUCUAUCCAGAGACGCGUAAAUAGCCCAAUGAAAAACGCCACAUUGACGCUCUCCAGGACCUUAUCCGCUGAAACUAACUCUAAAUUUUGGAAAUAUCCCAUAACUGGUUAACUACGGCAAAGAGAAUUCCCAAUGAACAACACCUGCCAGGAAAUUACAAAUUGUAAAACAAUGAGAACCCAUUGCAGAUAAGAUGAUAAAGAAUAAAAAACAAAGCACCCAUUAUGAUAAACUGCACGAAAAAUUUAACAUUAAUUCAGGGAAAAAAAAAAACCUGUUAAAAAUGUAAUGUAGGAGGCUGCACGUGGUUGUUCUUUAAAUGGUCAGUGGCUUACACAUUUGCAGAGUUUGUGGUGGGACUAAUGGAAUCCGAACGUAUAAAUAAACACACACAAAACAAUCACGUUCGAUAGCGGCAGCAUCUUUGUCAUCCCUAUCGCUUUCAUCUACAAUAAGGCCCAAAUCCCUUAUGAAAUACGUUUUAUUAUUAAAUUAUGUGACCAGAAUCUUACUAGCCUCUAUGUCAUGUAUAUGUAUUAAUUUUCUCUGCACCCUGUUCAAGGCUGUCAAUUUUUACUUGGUAGACUAAUGAUUUUUCAAUUAUGUCGUCAUUCCAAGCACAUUGUGUCUUACUUAUGUUUUUCUUCACUCUUUUGAAUUAAGAGAACGACAAACAAUGAUUGUGAUUCUAUUCGAUAUUUGAAUUUCAUGCCAUAUUUGUUUAAUAUGCUGAUAUUACACUAGGGUUAGUCAGAAGCUAUUCAUACAACUAUGACAUAAUCCCAAGUCCAUCGUGCAUAAGCUCAAUUUACGCCAAUAAAAAGAUAAUUUAGAAACUGCUUUCAUCUUUCUUUCCGAAUAACCGUGAAAAAUAAGAAUAAAAAAUCAAUGAGUGUCUUUUUUUUUGUUUUUGUUUUAUGUGACGCAUGCUUUAAUUAAUUUACAUAUGGUUUUUAUUUUUUAAUAUUACAUUAGUUGAAUUCAAAUUUAUUAAUAUAUUGAUAAAUACAUUAGAAAGUUAUGUCGAAAAUAUAUCAUAGUUUUGGGGGGAAAAAAAAUCACCACUAAAAAUUGUAUAAAAUUUGACACUUUUGCUUAACAGCCACUACUAGUCAGGGCGGCCAAAGUACUUGGCUUCGUCCUAUUGCCUUCAUGUUUCCAUAAUUAGAGCAUACAAAUCUCUGAUUUAAUUCUGUAAAUUACCCAUAAUUGGGAGCCUUGAAAAGUCAACUUCACAACAUUAAUUCCACAUCUCAUGGUAAUGGCAAUGGCGCUAACUCAAAUCCCACACGUUUAUUCGACAACUGGACUGCACCAUACCCAUACAUGCAUUGCCUAGAACUCAAUUUGCACAGGAUUUAAUUGAUGGAUUAAACCCUAACCCUAACCUACAGAUAAUUCCAAGGGUACCAAGAAGGGACUCGACUUCGAGAGUAUUUUACGAACAAAAAUUCUAUCAAACUUCUAAAGAAAAAACUGAUGGGUUGUUAAAUCAAACAUUAUUGAAUUAACUUUAAUAAAAUGUCUGAUGGCUAAUACGUAUUCUUCUGUAUUACAUACGUAGAAUGCACGUGAAGGAAUUGUUUUGUUUUUUUUCUCCUUUUUGUAUUUUGUUUUUUUGUGUAAUCAAAAAGAGGAUCCUGACCCUUUGUUUUCUGAAAAAUUAAAAAAAAAAAGAAAAAAAAAAAAGAGAGAGAGUUUUCGCAAACAGAAACAACUCACGUGGCGGCGUGUGGAUGAUAAAAGCGAACACACUGUAAAAAUUAGCACAGCACGUGGAAUGGAAUUGUCCCCAGACACGUCACAUUACCACGCGGACCCCCUAGUUGACAUGUCACUUCAUUUGUUACCUUUAAAAAAAUAUUAUAAUUAAUUAAUCUAUUAAUAAUAAUUUUUUCAUUAAAUUAUUAUUAUUAUUAAUUAACGAUAAUAAAAAUUAUUAAUUAAUUUUUUAAAUAAUAAUAAUAACAAUAAUUAAAAUAGAAAAUAAUAAUUAUGAUAAAAAUUAAUUAAGAAUUUUAUAAUAAUUUAUUACAAUUUAACUCAUUAUGAUUUUAAUUAUAAGACAAAAUAAACACAUAAAUUGUAAUACAACUCAUUCGAAUUACGAUUUUUACAGUUUAAGUAAAUAAAUUAUUCUGAUUCUAAUUCCUCAUUUCGAUUCUAACUAUUAUAAUUCUAAUUCUAACUCAUUAUGUUUCUAGCUAGUUUUGAUUCAUGUUUAGUGAACACACUAUAAAAUUAUAAACCACUUCAUACUCAAUUAGACCACUCCAUAUUAUUUACAAUUUAUUCAUAAGUAUUAUGAUUUUUAUAAUGCAUUCACUAAACAAGAAUCGAAAUAAUAAUAAUAAUAAUAAUAAUAAUAAUAAUAAUAAUAAUAAUAAUAAUAAUAAUAAUAAUAAUAAUAAUAAUAAUAAUAAUAAUAAUAACAAUAAUCUAUUUAAAAAUUAUAAUUAUAUUUAUAGUUAUAAUAAAAUAAUUAUUAUAAUUAUAAUUAUAAUUCAUUUAAUAAUAAUUAUAUUUUUUUUAUUACACAAAAUUAAAGGUUUCAAAAGAUUCUCUUGAACAAAAUUCUUCUAUUGAGAUAAUACUUGUCUCUCUUAUCUUAUUUGAAAAAUCUCAUUUAAAUAGUUUUUUUUGGGUGAUAAUGUAAGUUAUAUUAAUUAUAACUUAACAAGACUUAUUUUGCAAUAUUUUCGUAUCCGUCCAUCAUUCCAUCUCAUAUGUGAUUUGUAUAUACUACAAAAUUUUCAUCACACAUUUCAAGUUUUACGUUUUAUAUCUUAAAUUAAACUAUCCGUUUGUAAGCAUAAUAAACUACUUUAGAUACGAUCAAUCACUUAUUGGUAAUCUUUUCUUUUAAUUCCUGUAUUUUAUUGUCAAAACUUUAUGCCUAAAUCAAAUUUGUUUAUGGCCAAACGUGGUGAUGAUCCUAAAUUUGGCUAAGUAGACAACAAAAGUCCAAGGUGUGGAAAAUGUCAAAAAACUGUGGAAAAAAUGGAUGCAACUUUAUCUGAAGUUUGAACGAUUAUUCAAAAAUGGGAGUCAAGUCAGGCUGGCCGCGGGAUUCAAUUUUUAUAUGUUCGGUGAAUUUGGGGGCUGAUCGGCUAAUGGGACAGAGAAAAAAAAAAGGCGCAUUAUGCAGUUUGCCGAUUUUUAUAAAAUUAUUUGUGUUGUCUCGUGCUGCAACUUCUGUAUUGGGGGUAGCCUACUUUAGUAGAGGAUUAUAACAAUGACAUUAUUCAUUUCCCUGUACAAACAUUAUCUUUUGAAGCAUUCAUUUUAUUAUAUAAUUAAGGAAAAUUAUCAUUCGAAUAUUUUAUAUUUACUAUAUUAUUAAAAAUAUUAUAAUAUUUUGAGAAUGUAUCAAUUGUCCACCCUUAGUUGACAAAAUGUAUCAGCUUACUACCAAACGGUUAGUUGCCGUUUGAAAGUUAGCGGAAUUACAGUGAAUUGAUGAUUUUACCCUUGAAAAUAAUCACUUGUAUAUCCUUAAAUUCUCUUUUUAUCACUUGUAUACCCUUAAAUUAUCACUUAUAUCAUAUGAAAAGACUAAAUUACCAUUUUGACGUCAUCAUACUUAAACGGCAACUAACGGUUUGGUGGUCAGCUGAUACAUUUUGUCAACUUAGAGUGGACGAUUGAUACACCCUCAAAAUAUUAUAAUAUUUUUAAUAAUAAAAUAAACUAAGAAUAUACAAAUAAUAAUUUCUCUAUAAUCAAUUAUCAAUCAAACAACUCAUCACGUGACCCUUUUUUAUGAUGAUAAUAGGCAUGUAUAGCUGGGCCCAUUAUUCCUUGGAUUCACUGCUCCAAGUUAGCUUCUGACCAACCACUGCACCCCUAUGACAAAGCAAAGUUAAAAUAAUGAUAAUUAAUAAAAGUGUUAAACUGAUUAUUUUUCUUUUACCCUUUACUUUUUCAAGCUAAAAACUCAAAGUCCACUCUCUCUCUCUUUUAUAAUCUCUAUUGUUCUUUAACAUGAAUAUAUUUUUAAACAGUAAAAUUUAGAAGAAUUAAUUUUUAACUCUUUUAAAUCACAUGAUUUAAUAAUAUAUUUAUAUUAAAAAAAUACAAUUGUUUGUGCACUCACGCGCGCGCGUGCACACACACACACACACACACACACACACACACAUAUAUAUAUAUACAUAUAUGUAUAUGUAUGUAUAUAUGCAUGUAUAUUUGCUUUUUAUCAAACAAGAGGAUAAACAACCUAGAGAAGAAUGGUCAGAUAUUGACCUGCCGCAACUGGAGAUAAUGGACGAAGAUGAGCUCAUAGAACAACAACUAGCUUGAUGGGAAGAGGAGUGGUCUACACCGAGCUUGGUCUACAAAUGGAAGCAUUACUGGCUGAAUGAAAGCGUAGUGGAUCCUAUCAACAGAAGCAAUAGUGAAUAGUUACCAAUAAAUAAACGACAAGUAUGUGAAGUCAUCGAGUUGUAAAGUAGAUUUCUUAGGAUAAAAAUGUAUUGUGUGAUGUAAUAUAAAAGUAGUGAUGAGUUAUAAAAUAUAUUAUUUUAGGGUAAGAAUGUAAUGAUAUAAAUAGUAAAAAGAAAUUUCCUUGGUGCCUAUAAAAGAGACUCCGUGGCAGUUUGUUGGAUUAUGGAGUUUUGAAGGCUUGAGUUGUAAUAAAGAGUCAAUUGGUGAAAUCUUAUAUUCUUUUUUCUUGUAAUAAAAUCAUGUCACUUGUUUUCUUGCCAAGAAAUUUCGUUUUAUUGCUUUUUAUAGUACUCCUAGAAGCAUAGUAAGAUUAUCAGGAUCAUCUUAACUCAGCAUAAAUUCUCUUUGGGCUCGUGUUAAAAUUUUGGAACUCGUGUUUUUCAUUCUUGACCUUGUUCCUCUUGCAUGCCCUCUAGUUGCUGGAUUGUUGACCAAUAAAUAAGCAACAAAUGUGUGAAAUCACUUGUAUUGAGUAGUAAAAUAGAUUCUUACAGAACUCAAUAUUUAACAUUAUGUAAUAUAAUAUAAAAAUAGUAAUGAGUCAUAAAAUAAUUUUUGUUAGAAUAAAGAUGUUAUGAUGUUUUUAUUUUAUUUUCAUGGGAACAUAUUUUUAAACUGUAAAAUUCAAGAAAAUUAUUUUGUUUUUCUCUUAUAUGGAAAGGUUUAACAAUGUAUCUGUACGGCACUUAAUUAUUUGAUUUUGAUAACAGACAAGGGGAGAAACAGUGCCGCCAGCGAUGCCUACCAACCAAAAAGCCAGCUAUUGCUUUUGGUUUGCGUAUGGAGAAAAAGCAUGCAAUUCUUUUUGUUUGGUAGCUAGCUAACCAAUCAGGAGCUGGCUAAGUUGGAUCUGUUUGUUACAGAAUCUGUAACUUAACCAGCUCCUUUAAUUAUUAUGACAAAGACUAACAAGAGUAAUAAUUUUUAAUAAAUUAUUAUGAAAUUAUCCCCAUCUCAAAAGAAACACGUGUCCAAGUAAUUAGGAUCCCACCUUGCAUAGUCAAUAAUUAUGCACCUGAAACUAAUCUACGUAAUUGCGGUGACGAAGAUGGAAACUAAAGUGAGUUACGUCAAAAUUCAGAUAUAUUUUUUUUUAAAUAAAAAAAAUAUCAUCCAAACUGAUAAAUAUCAAGAAGACACCAUUUGAUCGAUUAUGGAUAAACAUCUACUGAUCAAUUAUGAAAACAAAAAAGGUCACUAAAUUUAGUUCAGAUAAGAUAAGGUGAAUAUCUGCAUGCUGUGAUCCAAAUUGCAAGAUUUUAUUGGAUCCAAUCCUUUGACAGAAUCUUUUGAUUUUUUAUUUUUUUUUGUCGCGUAAUACGUAGGAUUGUGAAGGCACUACAAUUCUAUCCCAAACUUCCCAUCCAAACCCACUGAAGCUGAAAUGUGAAAUGCAUCCAAAAGCAAAAGUUGGAAUGGCGAUAAAAAAUGAAAAUAACUUAACGUGCACGAUGAAUGACCAAAUCCGAAUUCUCAAUGUAUCUGGAAGAGAUAGGCAUCAUUUGAACUAGCCAUAUUUGAUUUUGGGACCUGUCUUCAACUCAAUAUUUAACAUUAUUCAAUUUGGGUCCAUUUCACGGAGUAAAGGAGGAGGCUUCAACUAAUUAGAGGACUUUUUAUAAUUAAAAAAUAGUAGUAAUGUUUUGAAACCCGAACGCUCUCAAGUUGAUGAGUCUUUGUGCUGACUCCUACGUCUCAUCAUUACAUCAAUCUCCACUUUACUUUUUUUUUUUUAAUUACGCAAGACUUAAUUACUUAAGAUUAUCAUUCAGAGUAUAAUUCAUAUUACACGAAAUUUUAAUUAAUAUUUAUAUAUCAAAUUAUUAUUGAUCCGCUAAUCUUUAAAUAGUCGAAAGAUAUUUAUUCCAUUCAUACUUUUGUAAUAAAAAAACUACUUUCAGUUAAUUAUAUUUUAUAAUUAAAAAAAAUUACCCUCAUAAUGUAUUGGAGGACAGCAAUCCUCACCACUCGGUCAUCUUCACUUUACUUUCACUUCCUAUUUAUCCAGUCAUAGAUGAUGACCUAAACGAUAUCAAGCAUGAAACAUCAUUGAUAGGAUUUUUUUGGGGUACACAGUGCACACCCUCAAACACCCAUGGCCUGAUAUGAGCAAUUACCCAGUAUUUGUGGUAGAAACUAGAGAGUAGAGACAAUACAUGCAUGUGCUACACAGUACCAUCCAGUUGGGGUCUUAUUUUUGAGAGGCGCCAGUCUUUUAUUGUUAUUAAUUUUUAUUUAUUUUCUAUAAAUCAAAUUACGCUGCAGAAUCUUGGGAAUAUACGUGCUGAUUCCUUGGUCCGAGAAAACGACUGACGUACGACGAUAUAUCAGAGCUCCAAUCACAAGAACAAGAUGAAGAUGCGAGAAGUAGUCGGUAACAUAUUUAAGAAACAGAAAACGAAAUUAAUGUUACCAAAAUGAGGAUAUAGAUGUGCACAUCGUGUCGUCAUCUUUGAGAAUCUGCCAUCUAUCCCCCACUUUAGCACUGUAGAGAAAUUAAUGGACCACGUAUUUUUUCCUAGAAGAUUCAUUUCUCUCAUUUAUAUUGUUUCUCCUAAUUUAUCGGAAUUGUCAACAUUCAAAUUUAAACCUCAAUCUUCUCCACUUAUUACUCCACUUAUUAAACCAAGAGAAGUUUGAACCUGGGAGAAAAAAAAACAAGAAAUAGGAUCCUAACCCCCAUACUAAUUAUUCAUUUUUAUAUAUUUUUAGUGGAAUACAAGUUAUAUUAAAUGUAACUUAGACAAAUCCUAUAAAUUAAUGUUUUCUUUUCCUGUGUCUUGAAUAUAUCCUAUAAAUCCCAUACUAAUUAAGUUCUAUCAAAAUUGUAAUAAUUGUACAUUUUAGUGCAUCUCACAUCAAACGUGUCUUGAAUUUAUUCCAGGACCCUUCAAUUUUGGAGUAGCAUAAUGAUAAUUCUCUGAAAAAGAAUCUCGUAGGCCAUAGCAAUAGUCUUAGUCCAAUACCGCAGCCCCAGCUUAGGCCGUUAUCGAGGGGCAUACUUCAAAUAUUGUGACGUUCCAAUUAUGGUGGAAUUCAGAGAUUUUGAGAGUCUUGGUCAUGAUUCAUGAAUGUGGAGAAAGCUGAGGUGUGUCUAGCUUGUCUACGUCCACAUGAUUUAUGAUUCCUUCUGCUAUCAUACAAAGAUGGACAGCAACCAAGACCGAUCUAGGAUUGUGAAUGUUCAUGUGGCCAAACAAGGCAUAGAUAGCGACAUUAACAUACAGUAUUACAGUGCAAGGCAAAGCUAGGCUAAUCCAUUUGACGCGAUCAUUCCUUUUAGCUUCCCUUUUACUGGGCUUCAAAGAGAAUGAUAGGCUCGUUAUGCAAAAUUCCCGCAUCAAAAUCGGACUUACAAAUUAAAAUUUCCAGGAAAAGCUAUUACGCCCCAAAAAUGUGCCUCAGCGGCAGGCAUUACCCCUUUCUGCGUUUGAAGAAAUUUGGUAUGUGUGAAUUGUUGCCAGACAACCAGGCUGUUGAUGUUUGAUCUGAUGUCCCCAUUUUAGAUGAUAACGCUUCUGUUUAGAAUAUAAUUUAACCACAAUUUGCAAGAGAAGAGUUCCUUCAGGAAUUGGGGGAGCUUGUACUAUUAACAUCGAAUCAACAAUUUUCAAAUGCAUUUUAUUGAAUGGUCAUUUGCUUUUAACACAGUCUGUAUAUGAACUACUGUUGUGUUAAUAUAUGAUUUUUUUUUUAAAAAAAAAACCGGUGGUCUAUAUUUGCUUCAGAAUCCUAGUGGACAUGUUAAAUUUUUUUUCUGAUUUGCCAGUUGUUAGCAGGGAGGGGCGGUCGCUGUUCUGUUUUUGGGUUACUUUUGGAUGAUCUUCUCAAUCAUUCUGCCACUAACUUCGAGAAAGAAGAACAACUAUCCUCAAGUAAUCGCCUUGCAGAGUCAUACUCCACAACUUUACCUGCAUCAACACAAAAUAUAUACUUGUUGAUAUAUCUAUCAUAAACGUAUGUGUGUAUGUUUGCAUACAUACACACAUAUACGUAUGUAUGUAUGUAUGUAUGUUUGCAUGCAUACAUACAUAUAUGAUAUUUUUACCUCCCGGAUUUCUUGAUCAGAAUGCUGUUCCAGAGGAUCAUAUAGCUUGUCUACCUAGAUCUUAAGUCCUGCAAACCUAUCUUCGAAAUAUCUACUCCACCAAUCAGAAUUCGUCCUCCGGAAGGCUCAACUACCCUGAAGAGAGCUUGGAUUAGAGUGGACUUCCCACUCCCCGUUCUUCCCACAACUCCGAUUUUCGUUUCUCCAGGAAAGGUGCAAGUUAUUCCUUUCAGGACCAUUGGGAGUGUAGGAUUAUAUUGGACAAGAAGGUUUUCA
RNAcentral lists this long non-coding RNA (13234 nucleotides) under Citrus maxima (pomelo). RNAcentral describes it as "long non-coding RNA (CMAX_LNC003199)". The record is from RNAcentral. Lineage: Eukaryota; Viridiplantae; Streptophyta; Magnoliopsida; Sapindales; Rutaceae.